This 83-nucleotide transfer RNA is filed under the name Maritimibacter sp. RNAcentral's name for it is "tRNA-Leu". It matches the Rfam family "tRNA". Rfam says of the family: Transfer RNA (tRNA) molecules are approximately 80 nucleotides in length. Their secondary structure includes four short double-helical elements and three loops (D, anti-codon, and T loops). Lineage: Bacteria; Pseudomonadati; Pseudomonadota; Alphaproteobacteria; Rhodobacterales; Roseobacteraceae. The record is from RNAcentral.
GUCAGUUUGCCCGAGUGGUUAAGGGGGUGGACUUAAGAUCCACUGCAGGUAACUGCGCGUGGGUUCGAACCCCACAGCUGACA